Long non-coding RNA from Juglans regia (Persian walnut), 547 nucleotides. RefSeq lists it as uncharacterized. The record is from RefSeq and is a predicted model, not a curated record. The transcript has 2 exons. Lineage: Eukaryota; Viridiplantae; Streptophyta; Magnoliopsida; Fagales; Juglandaceae.
CUUCCAAUCUCCUUAUAUAAACCACUCCCUGCCCAUCCCUUAGUCCUACACCUUUAAUUCUCCCUCUCUGCGCCAGAUCUGCACUUCUCUUCCAGUUCUAAUUUUCUCUCCCUUUUGAUCUUCCUCUGAUCCUCAUCUCCUAAUUCCUAGGGUUUAGUUUCUUAUUUUUAUUGGAUUGAAGCUUCCAAGCAUCUUAUGAUCAUCUACUCGAUCGCAUGGGGUACGCGGCCUAUUGAUGACCCUCUUCGUAUCCUUCCACAGCUUUCUUGAACUGCAUCGAUCUAUGAGCGGCUCGCGGCUCUUCGCAUGCACAGAUACCAUCUUUGAUCUCUUCGUUGCGGUUCAAUAAAGCUGUGGGAUGAUACAGACAGGGUCAAGAAAGUUCAAGAUCUCCGGCUUUGGUUAAUGUUUCUUUUGUGAUCAUCAAGAACUUGUAAUGUGUGGCGGAUGCUUUGUUUAUACUUAAUUGUAUAUAUACUUUUCGCACAGUACUCAUAUAGUAGGAAGUAUUAUGGAAGUAUAGAUCCCUCAGAACCCUUAUGCUCGA